RNAcentral lists this small RNA (340 nucleotides) under Vigna angularis var. angularis. RNAcentral describes it as "Non-protein coding transcript". The record is from RNAcentral. Lineage: Eukaryota; Viridiplantae; Streptophyta; Magnoliopsida; Fabales; Fabaceae.
CCUCUGCCUUCUUUUUAACCCUCACACUCACUAACUCAGUGCAUGUCUGUUUAGAUGGUGACUAAGUGUCCGCAGCGGAGAGGGCUUUGUUUUGAACCGAUUAUUUCUUUCAUUUGGACCGGGUAUUAUGCAUUUUGCUGAGAGAGGUUCUGUGGAGUUGAUUGUUGUACUGUGAGAACCCUAGAUGUCGAGGAGGUUCCCCUGGAACAGGCAUUGGAGGAAGAUGACGUUGAACCAUAGUUUCAUUAGGAUUUCCUUAUUUUAACUUAUGUAUUUUGAAAAACUUUAAUAUGUAGAACCCAUGAUAUGUUGGAAGACUUAGUACUUCAAGCUUUGACUU